GCUAGCCUCAAGUGAUGAUUAUUGGAGGUAGAGCACUGUUUGGACGAGGGGCCCCUCUCGGGUUACCGAAUUCAGACAAACUCCGAAUGCCAAUUAAUUUAACUUGGGAGUCAGAACAUGGGUGAUAAGGUCCGUGUUCGAAAGGGAAACAGCCCAGACCACCAGCUAAGGUCCCAAAAUAUAUGUUAAGUGGAAAAGGAUGUGGCGUUGCCCAGACAACUAGGAUGUUGGCUUAGAAGCAGCCAUCAUUUAAAGAGUGCGUAAUAGCUCACUAGUCGAGUGACACUGCGCCGAAAAUGUACCGGGGCUAAACAUAUUACCGAAGCUGUGGAUUGUCCUUUGGACAAUGGUAGGAGAGCGUUCUAAGGGCGUUGAAGCAUGAUCGUAAGGACAUGUGGAGCGCUUAGAAGUGAGAAUGCCGGUGUGAGUAGCGAAAGACGGGUGAGAAUCCCGUCCACCGAUUGACUAAGGUUUCCAGAGGAAGGCUCGUCCGCUCUGGGUUAGUCGGGUCCUAAGCUGAGGCCGACAGGCGUAGGCGAUGGAUAACAGGUUGAUAUUCCUGUACCACCUAUAAUCGUUUUAAUCGAUGGGGGGACGCAGUAGGAUAGGCGAAGCGUGCGAUUGGAUUGCACGUCUAAGCAGUAAGGCUGAGUAUUAGGCAAAUCCGGUACUCGUUAAGGCUGA
RNAcentral lists this ribosomal RNA (684 nucleotides) under Staphylococcus aureus. RNAcentral's name for it is "partial 23S ribosomal RNA". It matches the Rfam family "Bacterial large subunit ribosomal RNA", at positions 875 to 1559 of the family's 2925-position model. Lineage: Bacteria; Bacillati; Bacillota; Bacilli; Caryophanales; Staphylococcaceae. The record is from RNAcentral.